AAAAAGGCUAGGUCAGGCUUCGGCCUGACCAAAAUUCAAGCUGCUAUACCUCUGGCUGCAUUGACUUGUGGUCAGAGUGUAUGGUGAUCAUAGCAAUUGCAAGUAUGGGCUCGAUAAAUCCUUUGAAGACGACUUAAUUGCAUCCGGGUAUUGUAAGUGUUGAGAGUAGGCUUAGUCUUACGAUCCACUGAGAUUCAUCCCGUGUUGCGCCGAUUUGU
This 218-nucleotide non-coding RNA is filed under the name Perkinsus marinus ATCC 50983. RNAcentral's name for it is "Eukaryotic large subunit ribosomal RNA". It matches the Rfam family "Eukaryotic large subunit ribosomal RNA", at positions 3185 to 3401 of the family's 3401-position model. The record is from Rfam by way of RNAcentral. Lineage: Eukaryota; Perkinsozoa; Perkinsida; Perkinsidae.